AGGACAAACGCUGGCGGCGUGCGUAACACAUGCAAGUCGAACGCUCUGGUCUCUUUCGGGAGAGCAGGGAGUGGCGGACGGGUGAGGAACACAUGGGUAUCUACCUCCGGGUGGGGGAUACCGGCGAGAAAUCGCCGACAAUCCCGCAUAGCUUCGGGAACGAAGAAAGCAGCAAUGCGCCUGGGGAUGAGCCUGUGGCCGAUUAGCUAGCUGGUGGGGUAAUGGCUCACCAGGGCGACGAUCGGUAGCUGGUCUGAGAGGAUGAUCAGCCACACUGGGAUUGAGAACGGCCCAGACUCCUACGGGGGGCAGCAGUGAGGAAUCUUCCGCAAUGGGCGAAAGCCUGACGGAGCAACGCCGCGUGAGUGAUGAAGACCUUAGGGUUGUAAAGCUCUGUCGGAGGGGAAGAACACAAGUGACGGUACCCUCCAAGAACGCCCCGGCUAACUACGCGCCAGCAGCCGCGGUAA
RNAcentral lists this ribosomal RNA (470 nucleotides) under uncultured bacterium. RNAcentral describes it as "SSU rRNA". It matches the Rfam family "Bacterial small subunit ribosomal RNA", at positions 26 to 523 of the family's 1533-position model. The record is from RNAcentral.